UAUUGCACAAUGGGCGAAAGCCUGAUGCAGCAACGCCGCGUGAGCGAUGAAGGCUUUUGGGUCGUAAAGAUCUGUCCUCAAGGAAGAUAAUGACGGUACUUGAGGAGGAAGCCCCGGUUAACUACGCGCCAGCAGCCGCGGUAAUACGUAGGGGGCUAGCGUUAUCCGGAAUUACUGGGCGUAAAGGGUGCGUAGGUGGUUUCUUAAGUCAGAGGUGAAAGGCUACGGCUCAACCGUAGUAAGCCUCUGAAACUGGGGAACUUGAGUGCAGGAGAGGAGAGUGGAAUUCCUAGUGUAGCGGUGAAAUGCGUAGAUAUUAGGAGGAACACCAGUUGCGAAGGCGGCUCUCUGGACUGUAGCUGACACUGAGGCACGAAAGCGUGGGGAGCAAACAGG
Molecule: ribosomal RNA, 396 nt
Filed under: uncultured bacterium
Lineage: Bacteria
Description: bacterial SSU rRNA
Rfam family: Bacterial small subunit ribosomal RNA
Source: RNAcentral